GAUGAAGAACGUAGCGAAAUGCGAUACGUAAUGUGAAUUGCAGAAUUCAGUGAAUCAUCGAAUCUUUGAACGCACCUUGCGCCCUUUGGCUAUUCCGAAGGGCAUGCCUGUUUGAGUAUCAUGAAAACCUCAACUCUCAUGGCUUGCCAUGAUGAGCUUGGACUCUGGGGGUCUUGCUGGCUUUACGGUCAGCUCCUCUCAAAUAAAUCAGCUUGCCGGUGUUUGGUGGGAUCACAGGUGUGAUAACUAUCUACGCUUGUGGUUUUCCGCCAGGUAACCUUCAGCAAUGGAGGUUCGCUGGAGCUCAUAAAUGUCUCUCCUCAGCGAGGACAGAUUUUGACCGUUUGAUCUCAAAUCAGGUAGGACUACCCGCUGAACUUAAGCAUAUCAAUAAGCGGAGGA
Molecule: unclassified non-coding RNA, 402 nt
Filed under: soil metagenome
Description: partial contains 5.8S ribosomal RNA, internal transcribed spacer 2, and large subunit ribosomal RNA
Rfam family: 5.8S ribosomal RNA (bases 1-121)
Source: RNAcentral